Molecule: ribosomal RNA, 437 nt
Filed under: uncultured bacterium
Lineage: Bacteria
Description: partial 16S ribosomal RNA
Rfam family: Bacterial small subunit ribosomal RNA
Source: RNAcentral
AGCGAACGCUGGCGGCAGGCUUAACACAUGCAAGUCGAGCGGGCAUCCUUGUGGUGUCAGCGGCAGACGGGUGAGUAACGCGUGGGAACGUGCCCUUCGGUUCGGAAUAACUCAGGGAAACUUGAGCUAAUACCGGAUACGUGCGAGAGCAGAAAGGUUUAUCUGCCGAAGGAUCGGCCCGCGUCUGAUUAGCUAGUUGGUGAGGUUACGGCUCACCAAUGCGACGAUCAGUAGCUGGUCUGAGAGGAUGAUCAGCCACACUGGGACUGAGACACGGCCCAGACUCCUACGGGAGGCAGCAGUGGGGAAUAUUGGAAAAUGGGGGCAACCCUGAUCCAGCCAUGACGCGUGAGUGAUGACGGCCUUAGGGUUGUAAAGCUCUUUUAUCCGGGAAGAUAAUGACGGUACCGGAGGAAUAAGCCCCGGCUAACUUCGUG